RNAcentral lists this ribosomal RNA (222 nucleotides) under uncultured bacterium. RNAcentral describes it as "partial 16S ribosomal RNA". It matches the Rfam family "Bacterial small subunit ribosomal RNA", at positions 524 to 745 of the family's 1533-position model. The record is from RNAcentral.
GACGUAGGGCGCGAGCGUUGUCCGGAUUUAUUGGGCGUAAAGAGCUCGUAGGCGGCUUGUCGCGUCGUCCGUGAAAACCCGGGGCUCAACCCCGGGCUUGCGGUCGAUACGGGCAGGCUCGAGUUCGGUAGGGGAGACUGGAAUUCCUGGUGUAGCGGUGAAAUGCGCAGAUAUCAGGAAGAACACCCGUGGCGAAAGCGGCUCUCUGGAACGGUACUGACG